This 291-nucleotide long non-coding RNA is filed under the name Rattus norvegicus (Norway rat). RNAcentral's name for it is "long non-coding RNA NONRATT031477". Lineage: Eukaryota; Metazoa; Chordata; Mammalia; Rodentia; Muridae. The record is from RNAcentral.
AAAAGGCUGGGUAUGCGUGGCCCGACUUCAGUUUCCCUAAGCCUGCUUCCAUCUGUCCGUUUGUGAAUUAUUCAACCAACACAGAGCAGCGCUGUUUGGGGGUGGAUCUUUAUAAAGGCAGGAUCUGAAAUCGACUAAGAGAAUGCAGCUGUGAGAGCAUGUCCAGAAAGGGUUAACUCACAGAGAGGAUUUCCUCCCAGGUAGGGGGCCUGGGCAUUGCCUGCCUGCCUGCAUUCACUUCUCACCAUGAGAGUAUAUGUUGGAAUUAUCUGCUGCUGCCACCAUCUUCCC